CAGUGGCUCACACCUGUAAUCUCAGCACUUUGAGAGGCUGAGGCGGGUGGAUCACGAGGUCAAGAGAUCGAGACCAUCCUGGCCAACAUGGUGAAACCUCAUCUCUACUAAAACUAUAAAAAUUAGCUGGGCAUGAUGGCACAUGCCUUUAGUCCCAACUACUUGGGAGGCUAAGGCAGGAAGAUUGCUUGAACCCCGGCAGCGGCAGAGAUUGCAGUGAGCCGAGAUGGCUCCACUGCAGCCUGGCUACAGAGCAAGAUUCAGUCUAAAAAAAAAAAAAUAAGUCAAAAGGUGAAACUGCACACUUGUCUUUUAAGUCGCCAGCUUGACUCUCUUCCAAGUGUACUUUACUUCCUUUCAUUUUUGCCCUAAGCAUUUCAACAAACCUUCACUCCUGCUCUAAAACUUGCCUUGGUCUCUUCUUCUGCCUUAUGCCCUUCAGUUGAAUUCUUUCUUCUGAGGCGGCAAGAGUUGAUUUUGCUGAUGUAUUUUGGUGCCCUGCGACUCGGAUAACUUUCACCGCUAACAUGUUGGCACUGCAUGACUAGGAUACGUGCCCUAGAGGUGACCAUGUUGCCCAGAGACCACAUGUUGAAACUCCUGGUUGAAACCAUUUCACCACACUUCCAAUGGAUUAAAGAUGACAGGGCCCAACUGGGUUUGGCUCCCACAGUUAAUAUUCAGCAAAGAGGGUCAUGAGGGCCACGCAGAGAAAGAAAACCCAGAAACCUGGCAUGCCAGACAAAAGGACCCUAGGAACCGCAUGCUUUCCUGGCCUUGUUUCUCAAAGUGCUCCACCCUGAAGCCAGCAAUCCAAUUACUUAAAAACUGG
RNAcentral lists this long non-coding RNA (832 nucleotides) under Callithrix jacchus (white-tufted-ear marmoset). RNAcentral describes it as "lncRNA (ENSCJAG00000058511.2)". Lineage: Eukaryota; Metazoa; Chordata; Mammalia; Primates; Cebidae. The record is from RNAcentral.